UGAUUUGGAACCAAGUUAUUAGUGGGUUAAGGUGCCAACCAAAGCUAGAGUUAUUUGCUAAUUAGAUUGUUUGUAUUCAAGCCUACGAUUUCUGAAAUAUAUUUAUGCACUACAAACUUUUUUUUGAUAGGCAAAUUGGGAGUUUUAUUAAAAGCAUCUAUGAAAAGGGCACACCAAAGUAUGUGUUUAUGCACUACAAACUGUGUAUCAGUCAACUGCUUUUGAACUACUUACUAUAUUUAUGACCCUUAUGGCCUUGUUAAUUACUCAUAGGGUUGUUUGGUUCACCCUUGUUUUUUUUCCCCAGACCAUAAGCUUUUGGAGGACAAGGUUGGAGUAGAGCCCAGGAAGCUGGCUAUCCUUGGAAAUAGUUUAUAGAUUGAUGCCAAAUUGUGUUAGUUUUUAUUAAUUCCUAUAUUGUUAAUUCCUAUAGGAUAAACUGCAGUAUUGUACUUCUUUUAAGACCUGGGUUAGUUUGUUAUUUUGAUGAUAAUGUUAUAUUUUUCUUUCUGCCACACAAGAAUUUGAUUUCUACUUUCAGGUUACAUGUUGGGUAGGAUUGGUGAUUUAGUGCUACAUACUUCUUUCGAGCUGGGUUGGAGUUGGUUCUGGUCAUUAUGUUCAUAAUAAAAAGAGGAUAUUACAAAAAACAAGUUUGAAGUCAUGAAUGCUCAACAGUGAAGGGAAGUAGCAAGCAAGGUAAUGUCAUAUGAUGCUUUCUUAUCAUCAAUCUCAACCACAUGAUCAAUAGGAUACCAUAUUCUUCUAAAGUUCUCCCCCAUAAUCUGAAACUUUAAAAAGAAAUGUCAUGUUAUCAUCAAUCUCAACCACAUAAUCACAAAAUAGGAUACCAUAUACUUCUAAAGUUCACCCCCAU
RNAcentral lists this long non-coding RNA (877 nucleotides) under Vitis vinifera (wine grape). Its description in RNAcentral is "long non-coding RNA (VVIN_LNC001251)". The record is from RNAcentral. Lineage: Eukaryota; Viridiplantae; Streptophyta; Magnoliopsida; Vitales; Vitaceae.